This 28-nucleotide ribosomal RNA is filed under the name Dioszegia hungarica. RNAcentral's name for it is "partial 26S rRNA". Lineage: Eukaryota; Fungi; Basidiomycota; Tremellomycetes; Tremellales; Bulleribasidiaceae. The record is from RNAcentral. RNAcentral also lists the same sequence under 3 other names.
UCUGACCUCAAAUCAGGUAGGACUACCC